GAUGAACGCUGGCGGCGUGCCUAAUACAUGCAAGUCGAGCGAACGGACGAGAAGCUUGCUUCUCUGAUGUUAGCGGCGGACGGGUGAGUAACACGUGGAUAACCUACCUAUAAGACUGGGAUAACUUCGGGAAACCGGAGCUAAUACCGGAUGAUAUUUUGAACCGCAUGGUUCAAAAGUGAAAGACGGUCUUGCUGUCACUUAUAGAUGGAUCCGCGCUGCAUUAGCUAGUUGGUAAGGUAACGGCUUACCAAGGCAACGAUGCAUAGCCGACCUGAGAGGGUGAUCAGCCACACUGGAACUGAGACACGGUCCAGACUCCUACGGGAGGCAGCAGUGGGGAAUCUUCCGCAAUGGGCGAAAGCCUGACGGAGCAACGCCGCGUGAGUGAUGAAGGUCUUCGGAUCGUAAAGCUCUGUUAUUAGGGAAGAACAUAUGUGUAAGUAACUGUGCACAUCUUGACGGUACCUAAUCAGAAAGCCACGGCUAACUACGUG
This 497-nucleotide ribosomal RNA is filed under the name uncultured bacterium. Its description in RNAcentral is "partial 16S ribosomal RNA". It matches the Rfam family "Bacterial small subunit ribosomal RNA", at positions 28 to 507 of the family's 1533-position model. The record is from RNAcentral.